GAUGAACGCUGGCGGCGUGCCUAAUACAUGCAAGUCGAGCGAAUGGAUUAAGAGCUUGCUCUUAUGAAGUUAGCGGCGGACGGGUGAGUAACACGUGGGUAACCUGCCCAUAAGACUGGGAUAACUCCGGGAAACCGGGGCUAAUACCGGAUAAUAUUUUGAACUGCAUGGUUCAAAAUUGAAAGGCGGCUUCGGCUGUCACUUAUGGAUGGACCCGCGUCGCAUUAGCUAGUUGGUGAGGUAACGGCUCACCAAGGCAACGAUGCGUAGCCGACCUGAGAGGGUGCUCCGCCACACUAGGACUGAGACACGGCCCAGACUCCUACGGGAGGCAGCAGUAGGGAAUCUUCCGCAAUGGACGAAAGUCUGACGGAGCAACGCCGCGGGAGUGAUGAAGGCUUUCGGGUCGUAAAACUCUGUUGUUAGGGAAGAACAAGUGCUAGUUGAAUAAGCUGGCACCUUGACGGUACCUAACCAGAAAGCCACGGCUAACUACGUGCCAGCAGCCGCCGUAA
RNAcentral lists this ribosomal RNA (515 nucleotides) under uncultured bacterium. Its description in RNAcentral is "partial 16S ribosomal RNA". It matches the Rfam family "Bacterial small subunit ribosomal RNA", at positions 28 to 523 of the family's 1533-position model. The record is from RNAcentral.